Molecule: ribosomal RNA, 253 nt
Filed under: uncultured bacterium
Lineage: Bacteria
Description: partial 16S ribosomal RNA
Rfam family: Bacterial small subunit ribosomal RNA
Source: RNAcentral
UACGGAGGGUGCAAGCGUUGUUCGGAAUCACUGGGCGUAAAGGGCGCGUAGGCGGCCGUACAAGUCUGAUGUGAAAGCCCGAGGCUUAACCUCGGAAGUGCAUUGGAAACUGUACGGCUUGAGUUCGGGAGAGGAGGGCAGAAUUCCUGGUGUAGGGGUGAAAUCCGUAGAUAUCAGGAGGAAAACCAGUGGCGAAGGCGGCCCUCUGGAACGAAACUGACGUUGAGGCGCGAAAGCGUGGGUAGCAAACAGG